This is a long non-coding RNA of Gasterosteus aculeatus aculeatus (three-spined stickleback), 806 nucleotides long. NCBI's taxonomy places the organism in Eukaryota, Metazoa, Chordata, Actinopteri, Perciformes, Gasterosteidae. The record is from Ensembl.
GUCACGUGACUCGUUAGUGUCUGUAGUCACCUGACUCGUUAGUGUCUGUAGUCACGUGACUCGUUAGUGUCGGUAGUCACCUGACUCGUUAGUGUCGGUAGUCAUGUGACUCGUUAGUGUCGGUGGUCAGGUGAGUCGUUAGUGUCAGUAGUCAGGUGAGUCGUUAGUGUCAGUAGUCAGGUGAGUCGUUAGUGUCGGUGGUCAGGUGAGUCGUUGUCAGUACAGAGUCGUGUGAGUCUCUUGAAUCCCUUUUGUCUGCAGAAGUGGACCAGAAGCUUUUCAGCCUUCAUGAGGCGAGUCCUCUGAAGCCGGAGGAUCCACAGCGAUGAAGAAGAAGAACCAGAAGAAGCUUUCAGAUCGGGUUUGGAUUCAUACACAUGAAGCCUCGUGGAGAUCUGAGGUGUGAGUCGGUACACUUUGAGGAAGAGAACCUGGUGUUGGUGGGAACUCUUAAUAGUCUCACGUGCUUCUGUAAUCGCUCUCCACACUGCAGCAGAGAAGCACGAGACUCAUUAAAUCCCUCCAGACCUCCUCAAACAUUCAUUCUGAAAGUCCUACCUGGAGGAGGCCAGAUGCUCGAGUAUCUCGAGUAAAGAUCAUACUAGCUAGUGAUUCAUGGUCUGUAAACCUGUGGAUUACUUUUUCCAUUAGCUGUUUAGUUUAUGAAAAUAAAACAAGUCCUCAAAUCUCUGGUUUGCUCACAACAAUCUGAUAAUAUUCAUAUUUAAGACAACUGGAGACUUUUUACUUUUUGCAUCAAACUGAUUCCUCAACUCAACGGUAGCCGAUAAUUAUACUUGAAUAAA